Molecule: non-coding RNA, 121 nt
Filed under: Arthrobacter sp.
Lineage: Bacteria; Bacillati; Actinomycetota; Actinomycetes; Micrococcales; Micrococcaceae
Description: TPP sequence
Rfam family: TPP riboswitch aptamer (THI element)
About the family: Vitamin B(1) in its active form thiamin pyrophosphate (TPP) is an essential coenzyme that is synthesised by coupling of pyrimidine and thiazole moieties in bacteria. The previously detected thiamin-regulatory element, thi box was extended, resulting in a new, highly conserved RNA secondary structure, the THI element, which is widely distributed in eubacteria and also occurs in some archaea.
Source: RNAcentral
GGCGGGUACUGCGGGAGCCCGUUGCAGCCGUCACAAAGCGGCCGGGCUGAGAGGGCGUCAGAGCCGACCGCUUGACCUGAUCCGGCUAGUACCGGCGUAGGGAAGGAACAUAUGCCCCCCG